GGCAGAGGAGAGAAAAGCCCAACAAUCCCCUCUGAGCAAGCACUUGGCGACAGUGGGGAGGAAAAACUGCCUUUAAACGGGCAGAAACCUCCGGCAGAACCAGGCUCAGGAGGGGACAGUCAACUGCCGGGACUGGUUGGGGGGGUUAACAGAGGUGGAGCAAGACGAGGCUACAUCAGGUGAGGAAGCAGUAGCGUCUCUCCUCCGGAACAAGUGGAACCAUUUUUUCUUUUUUUUCAUGCACUUUUCCACGAGCGCUUUUUUCUCCAGGAUGAGAUUUCUCAGCUCAUCGAUGGUUUCUGCGUUUUGUUCUUCAAGUUUCUCACAUCUUUGUUCCACCUCUUCCAAUGUUGCUUGUUGUUCUUCAAGCUUGUCUUUGAGUUGUUUGGAUGUUGCCUCCUGUAUCAGCUUGUCCUUGUGCAUGUCUGCAUUUCUCUGUUGGACCUCUUUGUGCUUGUCUUCUAACUGCUCGUUUCUUUUCUGGAUUUCUUGGAGCGUGAGCUGCAGGUCUUCAUGUAUUUUGUCUUCUUGUUGUUUUUGCGCCUGCAUUUGAGUGUUUUCACGCUUCAAGUUAUUGAAUUCCACCAAAAUCCCCUUAACGAGCUCGGAGUUGUUUCUCGCUAUCUGAUCAAUCCUUCUCUGCAUCUGUGAGCAGCGUUUCUCCAGUUUGUCCUUUUCUUCUUCCACUUUAGUUGCUUUGUCCUCCAGCUGAUUACAAAACUCUUGCAGUUUUAGAUUUUUAGACUCAAAGUCCUGGACGAUACGUUUUCCUUCUUUCAGUCUUUCCUGCUGUUGCUCUUUCUGUUGAAGAAGGUCUUUAUUUUGGCGCAGUGUUUCAUCCAGGCUUUCUUUCAGCAUGCGGUAUUUUUCCUGCAUGCUCUUCAGUUCGUGCUGCAUGUCUCGUUGCUUUUUGUCCUGCUCUUCCUUCUGUUGGAGGAAUUCUUUCUUUUCUUCCACAGCUUCAUGGAGCUGUCUUUGGAGGAGCUGAUUCCUUCGGUCCAUGUAUUGGAGAUCCCGUUGUAUCUUAUCAGUCAUCGUUUUCUUGUCUUGGAGCUGGUUGGUCAUUUCUUUUAGUUCUGCACUCUUUUGCCUGUUUUCUUUAAUGAGGUGCACAAUCUGCUCUCGGCUCUGAGCAAACUUGAUUCCCCAGCCCUCAUUAAUAAUUUUUAUGUCCGGCUGGCGCUGUUGUCUUUCUUCCAGCUCUUUAUUUUGGGCUUCCAUUCGUCUACAUUUGUCCUCCAGUUGAAGUUUCUCUUCUUCAAUUUGUUGCAUUUUUUUCUGGAGAAGGUAGUUUUCCUUCCUACUCUCCUCUAACGCCCUUUGGAAGGAUGAGACGCCAUUUGGGGAAAUUGGCCGGCCACGCCAGGAAGGAGAGGCGGCGUAAUCUUUUUGAAUUGGUUGUUUUUUUCUUGGAAACAUGUUGGAGUUUCUAUACGAUGACUUUGAAGAGCUUGUGGUGAACGUUUUGUAGGCUGCAAACACAGAUGCUGCUGAAACGAACUAAAACUUGCUGUUUCUCACCCCUACUUAAGGAAAAACAUCAAAGGACUUAAGAUUCUUAAGAUCUAUGACAUCAUCACUCCCUAAGCCAAUGAGAUUGUCACAAGACAUUUUGGAAUGGGGUAUUUUUUUUUAAACUGUUUUCAAACUUAACGUAAAAUUUCAGUGUUUCCUGGUUGUGGACUAUUGGUUAGUCCAGCCGAUUAAGAAAUUAAUUGUCACAAACAUCCCUAAUAUUAUAUAACAGACGACAGAAAACAAGACAGUUUUUUUUCUACGCUAUAGCGGUAUAAUAAAAGUUUUUUUAAUUAUCCUACUUUUUAUAAAAGAGAACAUUUAUUAAAGAUUAUGUAUUUAAUUAAAAAACUCUGUUCAUCUAAAGCAGGGAUCAGCAACC
Astatotilapia calliptera (eastern happy) is the source of this 1897-nucleotide long non-coding RNA. The record is from Ensembl. NCBI's taxonomy places the organism in Eukaryota, Metazoa, Chordata, Actinopteri, Cichliformes, Cichlidae.